GCCCUUCCUACGGGAGGCAGCAGUAGGGAAUAUUGGUCAAUGGGUGGAAGCCUGAACCAGCCAUGCCGCGUGCAGGAAGACGGCCUUCUGGGUUGUAAACUGCUUUUAUCUGGGGAUAAAAUACCCUUGCGAGGGAGACUGAAGGUACCAGAUGAAUAAGCCACGGCUAACUACGUGCCAGCAGCCGCGGUAAUAAGGGC
Molecule: ribosomal RNA, 200 nt
Filed under: uncultured bacterium
Lineage: Bacteria
Description: partial 16S ribosomal RNA
Rfam family: Bacterial small subunit ribosomal RNA
Source: RNAcentral